Non-coding RNA from Rhinolophus ferrumequinum (greater horseshoe bat), 74 nucleotides. The record is from the annotation of a RefSeq genome assembly. NCBI's taxonomy places the organism in Eukaryota, Metazoa, Chordata, Mammalia, Chiroptera, Rhinolophidae.
GGCCGGUUAGCUCAGUUGGUUAGAGCUCGGUGCUCUUAACAACAAGGUUGCCAGUUCGAACCUGGCAUGGGCCA